This 68-nucleotide transfer RNA is filed under the name Marmota monax (woodchuck). RNAcentral describes it as "tRNA.Ala". The record is from RNAcentral. Lineage: Eukaryota; Metazoa; Chordata; Mammalia; Rodentia; Sciuridae.
GGAAAAUAGCUCAGUUGGUUGAGUCUUGCCUAGCAUGCACAAAGCCCUGGGUUCAAUCCCCAGAACCA